AAGGCACAUCUCCUUGAAUCAAGUUGCCACAAAAAAAAACGUCAGCACAUAAUCAGCCAUAUUUCCUUUUCUUCUUUGAUUGAAACUUUCUUUUCUUUUUCUUUUUCAUCCUGAUUGUUCGAAACCUAUCCUUGAUUAUGCAUUUCCUUUCUUUCCACCAAGUGAACCUAGACUAUUUGUAAAACUCAUACACAUCUCUUUUCCAUAAAUGGGCGAGACUUGUGAGUGCGAUAAAACCCUCACACCUAGCAUACGGUUCGACACCAGCACCACCACAACACGCCUCCACACCCCGUAACACCAUCUGAACCACCUUCACGCUCGCCGGAAUAUCCAGACACUACCGGAGAUCAACGGAAGCCGUAUCGAAGUCGCUGGCGUCAUACGAGUUCGCGACGGAAACCGUAUAAGAUGUGUUCGGGUAAUCGUUCCCAUUCGUUUGGUUUCCAAAACUUUUUCUUCGUGCGUUAUUUCAAGAAAUCACAAACGCAAUCAAUGUUAAUUAUUGAGACGAUACUCAAGACGAAACAAGAUUUAGGGUGGAC
Molecule: long non-coding RNA, 545 nt
Organism: Helianthus annuus (common sunflower)
Lineage: Eukaryota; Viridiplantae; Streptophyta; Magnoliopsida; Asterales; Asteraceae
Exons: 3
Source: RefSeq, a predicted model, not a curated record